RNAcentral lists this unclassified non-coding RNA (400 nucleotides) under uncultured fungus. RNAcentral's name for it is "sequence contains ITS1". The record is from RNAcentral. Lineage: Eukaryota; Fungi.
UAACGUCAUCCCCACCUUCCUCCGGUUUGUCACCGGCAGUCUCAUUAGAGUGCCCAACUGAAUGUAGCAACUAAUGACAAGGGUUGCGCUCGUUGCGGGACUUAACCCAACAUCUCACGACACGAGCUGACGACAGCCAUGCAGCACCUGUGUUACCGCUCCCUUUCGGGCACUCCCAACUCUCAUCGGGAUUCGGUACAUGUCAAGGGUAGGUAAGGUUUUUCGCGUUGCAUCGAAUUAAUCCACAUCAUCCACCGCUUGUGCGGGUCCCCGUCAAUUCCUUUGAGUUUUAAUCUUGCGACCGUACUCCCCAGGCGGUCGACUUCACGCGUUAGCUGCGGUACUAAGGAAGUCUCCUUCCCCAACACCUAGUCGACAUCGUUUAGGGCGUGGACUACCA